AGCAUUGGGGGAAAGGGGUGGAGCUAAACGGUGGUCAGAAAGGUCCCCCUGAGGUGGCAUGAGAGCAGAAAGCCAAAACAGGGCUGAGCCGUGCAGUGUCUGGGGACAGCUUUCCAGGCAGAGGGGACAGGGUGCAAAGGCCCGAGGCCACCAUCUCGCGGUUCAACUCAAGAAACCUUGAGUCAUAAACCGCUGGGUUUGCAUUUUGUUGCUGUGAUCAAAAGACCCACCAGGAACUCACUUAGCAGAGCAAAAGUUCAUUUGACCUCACCUUUCAGGGGUUUGGCCCUUAGUUGUCUGACCCCAUUGCUCCAUGGGCCCAAGGAGAGGCAGAGCUUUGAGGCGGAAGUGCGUGUGGAGGAGUUCCGCCCCAUGCGUGGUGGGCAGGAAGGGUCUGCAGGGAAGGUGCCCGUCUAGGCCACAGCCCCAGUGACCCGCCUCCUCCUGCCAUGUCCCACCUGCCUCGUCAUCCCCCGAUCAGUCCAUUCAGACGAGGACAUCGGAUCAUUCUACCUUGGUCUUCUGCCUCCUGUGCCAGGGCAAUUUAGAGUGGUUUAAGAUGAUCCAGAUUCUACAGGGUGCCCUCUAUGGCACCCCUAGGGAUUAGGGAUGCCCAAACCCUGAGGUGGCAUAUGGAUUCCAGAAGGGCUGGUCCCUCAGGGAAGGGAACCAAAUCCAACCCAAAUGCAUGCAGCCUCCUCACUGUCUGACCCUGUGUCCCCCUUUGGGGGUGAAGGGGCUCUCCUACUCUGAGAGGGUUGUGCCUUAUGCAGACCAGAGCGGGGAAAUGGCCACGGAACACCACUGACUGAUCGUAGGCUGACCAGCCAGCCACUGCCCAGGAAUCAGAGGUCAGCCUGUGGCCAAGGUCAGCAGCCAGCCUUGAGUCUGAGGUUUGUGGUCAGACCAGGAAUCAGCUGGAAUCAAGAGUCAAAUCUGUAGCCAGAUCGAGAGUCCGCACAUGGUUCAGUUCAGGGAUCAGCCUGAGAAACAGCAGUCACUGCUCAGACGGGGACUUCAUGCAUCACCGGGGUCAUAGGUCAGGCGGGCCAAGGUCAGGGCUACUCCUGGCCAAGGGGAAGGGUAUGUGUCUGUGGAAUGAAGCCUCCCAGCCCAGCUGCACCAGCCCAAAGUCUGACGGCCACACCAGGCGGGAAAUAGAAGGGAAAAAGCAGUCACAGAUCCCAAGUCUGGACCUGGAGUGUCCCCUGAAGGCCGCGUGUCCCAGCCGGUGCUUCGAUCUGCCAUGGGCCUCCGUCAUGAAUGUGCUGGGCUGCCCCGGGGCCCAAAGCCACAGGCCCAAGUGACCAGGAACUAAAAGCUCUGAAACCAUGAGCCAAAGAAACUUUCCCCCCUCUAAGUCGAUGUCCUCAGGUAUGUUGUCACAGUGACGGAGAGCUGACACGGACACGCUGAGCCGCUUCAAGAUCCAGUCAGACCAACUCCAUUGGGCUUCAAGGCCUGGGGAUCCACCGUCAUUUGCAGCUCUGAGCUCCAUAUACACAGUGACAAUGACGAUGACGAAAACAGCUUUGCAUUGGACCUCACACUAUAUAAAAAAGACGAACCGGAGCAAAUUAUAUGGACCUAAACAAGCUUGAUUGUAAGGGAACAAGCCCCCCCCGGAGUCCAUGAUCAUCUGAUGUGUGAAAAUCCAGAGAAGACAAAGCUGUGGGGACAGAAAGCAGAUCAGUGGCUGCUAAUGUCCAGGGAGCAGGAGGAGGACACGGUCAUCUCCAAAGUGUUGGAAGCGCAUGUCUUUUGAGGGUGAUGGAAGGGUUCUAUGUCCCUACUGUAGACUGGCUCGCAACUGGAAUCGUUUUCAAAAUAUCUCCAAGUGUGCGCUCAGAAGGGAGGCCUUGGUGUAUGCAGACUGUGUGCUGGUAAAGGUGAUUUUGGAA
Molecule: long non-coding RNA, 1901 nt
Organism: Marmota flaviventris (yellow-bellied marmot)
Lineage: Eukaryota; Metazoa; Chordata; Mammalia; Rodentia; Sciuridae
Source: RefSeq, a predicted model, not a curated record